This is a long non-coding RNA of Gadus macrocephalus (Pacific cod), 2163 nucleotides long. RefSeq lists it as uncharacterized. The record is from RefSeq and is a predicted model, not a curated record. The transcript has 2 exons. NCBI's taxonomy places the organism in Eukaryota, Metazoa, Chordata, Actinopteri, Gadiformes, Gadidae.
UCCCGGGGGCUUCACCACGAUCUGUGCUCUACAAGAGAUAUGCUUUUAACCGCCACUAGAGGGCAGUGUAGCUGCAUUAAUAUCAUUAAUGUGUUCUAGAAUUGUGCAAAAAAAAAAAGACUGAAGACUCAUAGCCUCGUGGUCAUGGAAAAAUAACCUCUUCAGUUUUAAUUAAUACUCUAUUUAUUUGUACUUUUAUGCAUCCCCGGUUCACUCCUUGACCUGACUGACUGGAAAGGUUAAUUCACUUCUUGGGAACUUUUGAUACAUUUAACAUAAGGGACUAGCUUCGCAACAUUGAUUAGUUGCACACUAUAGAUUAGUUCUGAAACAUUGACUUGUUUAUUCCUUUGAUAUAUAUUCCUUUUCUUUCACUUCCAUGGAUCGUGGCUUGACUGCAGGAAGCUGCGUCGAUAGGGGGGAGGGUGGGAUGGCCUUGGCGGAUGUAUGAAUGUGAAGAACAUGCGUGACGUCAGUCAUGAGGGGUGGUGGAGGGAGGGAGAGACAUCAGGAGAUGUGUAUCCGUCCAAUAGGUGCGCAUUUUAAUAGAUCUCUCCUCGUCAUCCGGCGAGGAGAAUGAUGUCUAAAGUCGAAAGAAUAAGUUAUGUGUGUUAUUUUUGGAAAGUCUCUGCUGAGAUCCAUUAUGAGCCUAUGGGAUCUGUUAGUCAAGGUUAGCAUGGUCUGUUAGUCAAGGUUAGCAUGGUCUGUUAGUCAGGGUUAGUAUGUGUGUUAGUCAGGGUUAGCAUGGUCUUUUAGUCAGGGUUAGAAUGUGUCUGUUAGUCAGGGUUAGUUUGUGUCUGUAUGGGUUCAUUUUAUUUGAACAGCUAGGUUACUAAAAUAUGAAUGUGUUAUUGAGCUUACAGAAGUAAACCUAGAUACACCAAAGCACUAGCACUGUGGUGUAUCUAGCCUGUGGUAUAUCCAGCCUGUUCGGGUCUGAAACUGGGGUUCUCCAUCACUCUGGCUGCAGAAUAGAUCGACGGUGGUGGUGCUGGUGGUGGAUGCCUUGUCAGUAAAUGUCAGGGGGAAGGGUGGCUCGGUGCUCCGGCCCCUGCAGGGGGUCUUGGGUGAAAUGCCAGCAGACAUGAAGUUAACCACAGUGGACUGGGGAGGACCACCAGCACCGCCCUUCUCCUGGGACCCCUGGAGGGUUCAGCCUUCAGCCUUUAGCUCCAACUUCAGCCCUGGACCUCUAAGCCCUGACACCUCACCCAACCUAGCCAACGAAAGAGUUACGAAGGAGAUGGGAGAUGGAGGCUGUGAAGCCCAAACCCUGUGGGGGAAGAGGAGGAGGAGGAGGACUCAGGAUGGAGAUUAGUCUGGAGGGUCAAGUCAAGUGACUUUUAUUUAUAUAGCACAUUUAAAUACAACAGGAGUUGACCCAAAGCGCUUUACAUUGACAGAAGUCAGGGUUGGGCAGGACAGUUGAUGAAAGGGGCCCAGGAAUACACGGAAAGAAAGCAAUAAAAGUAGUAAGAACAAGGUUAAGGGUGUUAAGGGUUGUGAAAAGCAAGAGUGAAAAGGUACGUCUUUAAAUUAGACUUAAAACUGGCAAGGGUGGUAGAGGACUUGAUGUGGGGUGGAAAGGGUUUCCAUAGGUUUGGGCCAGCAACAGAGAAUGCCCGGCCACCUUUCGUUUUAAGAUGUGUACGGGGGACAGAUGGGAGCUGUUGUGGAUGAGCGGGUCGACCUGGGGGUGGAGUGUGGGGAAAGCAUUUGAGCCAUAUAAGGGGGUGCUGAGCCAUUAAGAGCUUUAAAAACAAAGAGUCAAAUCUUAAAAUCAAUUCAGAAUUUGACAGGGAGCCAGUGCAGCAGGCAGGUUGUCAUAUCUAUUCUAGGACAACAAGAAGUAGUUGUAGUUAUGGCCGUGAAAUGCUUGAAUGUAAUGCAAUCACAACCAUGUGACUUCACUAAAUAAAGUAGUGCAGAGUAGGUGAACUGUACUGUACUGUAGAUAGAAGUGUUGUGUCCAAUGUCCUCUGCCUUGUGUUUCGUCCUCUAUGCCUUCAUCAAAAGAUAGAUGAAGACCUGUCAGAUAUGCUGCUUCCACAUCUCUGUCUGUCUGGAUGUCUCUUUCUCUUUCUCUUUCUCUUUCUCUUUCUCUUUCUCUUUCUCUUUCUCUCUCUCUCUCUCUCUCUCUCUCUCUCUCUCUCUCUCUCUCUC